Molecule: transfer-messenger RNA, 349 nt
Filed under: Quinella sp. 3Q1
Lineage: Bacteria; Bacillati; Bacillota; Negativicutes; Veillonellales; Veillonellaceae
Rfam family: transfer-messenger RNA
About the family: Bacterial tmRNA, also known as 10Sa RNA or SsrA, is named for its dual tRNA and mRNA-like properties. Its role is to liberate the mRNA from a stalled ribosome.
Source: RNAcentral
GGGGAUGUAAUGGUUUCGACAGGGAUGAACGGGGUUUGAUAAGCGAGCAUCGGCUCCGCAACCGAUUUGACAAGCGGAAAACUUAAUUAUAACUGCGAACGAAGAGUACGCACUGGCGGCUUGACCGCCACGUCGCCUGACUGAUUCCCUUCCCGUCAGGUCAGUGUCGACGUCAGAAACGGGAAUACCGCGCUUGAGAGCACUGUAGGGCGCGGGAACUUCCAAAGUGCUUGGCUUUAUCAAGUUUGUCGUCGAGGUUGGUAGAGCUGAAAUUUUUCGGCGACUGCGCUCGGAGAAAGUUGAGCAACGGCAUUUUUGGACAGGAGUUCGAUUCUCCUCAUCUCCACCA